GACGAACGCUGGCGGCGUGCCUAAUACAUGCAAGUAGAACGCUGAAGAGAGGAGCUUGCUCUUCUUGGAUGAGUUGCGAACGGGUGAGUAACGCGUAGGUAACCUGCCUGGUAGCGGGGGAUAACUAUUGGAAACGAUAGCUAAUACCGCAUAAAAUUGAUUAUUGCAUGAUAAUUAAUUGAAAGAUGCAAUUGCAUCACUACCAGAUGGACCUGCGUUGUAUUAGCUAGUUGGUGAGGUAACGGCUCACCAAGGCGACGAUACAUAGCCGACCUGAGAGGGUGAUCGGCCACACUGGGACUGAGACACGGCCCAGACUCCUACGGGAGGCAGCAGUAGGGAAUCUUCGGCAAUGGGGGGAACCCUGACCGAGCAACGCCGCGUGAGUGAAGAAGGUUUUCGGAUCGUAAAGCUCUGUUGUAAGAGAAGAACGGGUGUGAGAGUGGAAAGUUCACACUGUGACGUAUCUACCAGAAAGGACGCA
This 484-nucleotide ribosomal RNA is filed under the name Streptococcus sanguinis. Its description in RNAcentral is "bacterial SSU rRNA". It matches the Rfam family "Bacterial small subunit ribosomal RNA", at positions 28 to 496 of the family's 1533-position model. The record is from RNAcentral. Lineage: Bacteria; Bacillati; Bacillota; Bacilli; Lactobacillales; Streptococcaceae.